CUGGUCGUAGCUCAGCUUGGUGGAGCGCUCGGUUCGGGGCCGAGAAGCCGCAGGUUCAAAUCCUGUCGACCAGAC
Molecule: transfer RNA, 75 nt
Filed under: Paractinoplanes ferrugineus
Lineage: Bacteria; Bacillati; Actinomycetota; Actinomycetes; Micromonosporales; Micromonosporaceae
Description: Actinoplanes ferrugineus tRNA-Pro
Rfam family: tRNA
About the family: Transfer RNA (tRNA) molecules are approximately 80 nucleotides in length.
Source: RNAcentral